CUUAUUUGAUCUAUUUGAUCACAUCCGUUCGAAUCGGAUAUUCUCUGAAUAAAUACACAGGUUAGAGCCAGGUGGUUAGGCGUCUCAAUUGGGAUGAGGAAUUGUUAUGUUCGAAUCAUAAUAACCUGAUAAAAAAAAAAAUAAAUAAUUACAUAUGUAUGAUAUUAUUUUUUUUUUUGAUAUAAUAAAUAUCAAAAUAAGUAUAUAAAGAGAUUAUUACGGAUAUCUGGCUAUAUAUUAAAGAUAGAUAUGAAAAAUUAAUAUCUAAUAUAAAUUUAAUAAUAAACAAAGUGAAUUGAAAUAUCUUAAUAACUUUAGGAAAAGAAAUCAAACGAGAUUUUAUUAUUAGUGUAUACUAAUAUAAAAAAGCUUAUAAGUAAAAUGGAAAAUAUCUGUUUGAAUAAAGGGGAACCUUCCUCUAAAGCUAAAUAUAAUAUAUAAGCGAUAGCGAAUAGUACCGUGAGGUAUAGAUAGAAAUAGUAAUUUUAUAAGCAGCUCAAAAAAAAUUUUAAAUAAAUAAUACGAGCGGACCUUUUGCAUAAUGGGUCAGCAAGUUAAACUUAGAUGCAAGCAAAUAAAAAUUAUUUGCCUAGAUAAACCAAUUAUGAGAAAAUGAUAAGUAUCUAAAUUUAGACCCGAAGCUAGUGAUCUUACCAUGAUCAGGCUUAAGGCCGAACGGUUAUCGUUGUAGAGAUAUCCGAUGAAUUGUGGUAAGUUGGUGAAAGACAAAACUGACUAGUAUAGCUGGUUUUCCGCGAAACCUAUGUGAGUAGGUAAUUUAAUUAACAUCUUAGCAGGUACAGAACUAGGAUCUCGGACAAUAUGUAAAUUUUGUACACAUCGGGGGAUCGUGAAGAUUUUAUCGGAGAGUAUUUGCACUCGAAAGGGCAAAGAUGAGUAUUGAAUAAUCGGACAUAGUACGAUAAGGUUGUAUGUCUAAAGGGAAACAGCCCUGAACAAGAGUUAUAAGGUUCCAAAAUUAUUAUUGAGUGAAAUUAAGGAUGUACUUAUCAAAUACAACCAGGAAAUAGGCUUAGAAGCGGCCAUUUUUUGAAGACCUCGUAACAGAGCACUGGUUAAUAAAAUUUCAUUUAGAUAGAUAUGUAUACCGAAAAUUUAACGGAUCUAAAUAAUAUACCGAAACCUUGUUCGUAUAUAUUAAUAUAUAAUAUUAUUUGUUUAAAUAUAUAUAUAUAUAUGAGGUAGCGGAACACUGGAUAAAUAUUAGAUUUUGUCUUUUUUAAGACAAAAAAUUAUAUAAGAAUCCAAGAGAGAAUGCUGGCAUGAGUAACGAAAAAGGAUUUAACAUCCUCGCCUUAAGCUUAUGGUAUUUUAUUUAAAUUUCGGUAUCUAAGUAGGAAGUAAAAUAAGUAAAAUGGUAAAUUGUUUGAAAAAAAACUUCUCCAAAUGGAUUCAAAUACGAUGAUAUAAAUAGAUUAGAGAAAAAACUUUUAUAAAGUGUUAAAGGUUCUGGAAAUUAAAUUUAAUCAAAUAAGCAAUUUUAAUUGCUCGGCGAAAUCCGAAACUAUAUAGACCGUACCUAAAUACUAACACAAGUAAGCAAGUAGAGUAUACAAAGGCGUUUGAGUGAAUAAUCAUUAAGGAACUCGGCAAAUUGACUCCGUAACUUCGGGAUAAGGAGGGCCGUUAUUACAGAAAAAUAUUUCUGUUAAAUAAGAGGAAACAUGAAAUAAUGUUGUACGACUGUUUAAUUAAAACAAAUCACUCUGCAAAGAUUAAAAAUCAAAGUAUUGAGUGUGAUGUCUGCCCAAUGUCGGUUGUAUAACUGAGAUACUUAAUUUAAAAGGUUAGGUUUUGAAGGACACUCCGAUCAAUGGCGGCCUUAUCUAUAAGGGUCCUAAGGUAGCGGAAUACCCUGGCCGUUAAAUGCGGUCUUGCAUGAAUGACUUAACGAUACAACAGCUGUCUCGAUGAUUAGCUCAGUGAAAUUGGAAUAGCGGUGCAGAUACCGCUUAACUCUAGGUAGACGAGAAGACCCUAUGCAGCUUUACUGUUACCUUUUAUGAAUAUAGUAAGUCAAUUGUGAGUGUAUAAGGUAAUUGUUAAAUAAAAUUGAAACACCUUUAUUUAAACUAUUAUAUUCUUUAUGACUGGAAGACAGUUUAUGCGGGGCACAGAUCCCAUAAAAAGUACCUGGGUAUAUCCAAAGUUAAUAAUGUAAGUUUGUAAAUUUUAAUUUACAAUAAUAAUAUAUUUAUAUUUAUAAAUUAUUAUUAUUUAGUUUGUUAUUAAUUAUAUUUUAUAUUUAUUCAGUUAUUAUUGUAUUAAAUUCGAAUUUUAUAAAAUUUAAGUAAGAUUUUAACUAUAUGGUAAAUAGAUGUAUAUCAAAUAUUAAUAAAAAUUUUUUAUUAGUAUUUUAUUUAUAUUAAUAUUGUAUAUAUAAACCUUUAUUAAUAUGAUAAUUAUUUAUACUUUAAAAGUUUAAUGGCUAAAUCUUGCUUUACUGUUUGACUUACAAGUCUAUCAGUCGCGUAAGCGGGGCAUAUGAUCACAAGAUGCAAAAAGGAAAGGUCUUGGAUUAAAGAAAAAGUUACGCUAGGGAUUUUUGUUAGUCCCCCUGUAUUUUAAAAUAUUGGUAAUAAUUUGGGUAAAUUUCAAAAAUAACUUAUAUUUAAGUGUAUUUGAAGCGAAACUUAUUUUAGCAUAUUUAUAUUUUAUAUAAAUUAAAUAAGAACGUUCAACGACUAAAAGGUGAAUAGUGCUAUUGAUAAUCCUUUUAUUUAAUCCCAACAUCUUUAUUAGUUAUAUAUAUAUUA
This 2777-nucleotide ribosomal RNA is filed under the name Histoplasma capsulatum G186AR. Its description in RNAcentral is "bacterial LSU rRNA". The stretch from base 196 to 2607 matches the Rfam family "Bacterial large subunit ribosomal RNA". Lineage: Eukaryota; Fungi; Ascomycota; Eurotiomycetes; Onygenales; Ajellomycetaceae. The record is from RNAcentral.